Long non-coding RNA from Empidonax traillii (willow flycatcher), 966 nucleotides. RefSeq lists it as uncharacterized. The transcript has 2 exons. The record is from RefSeq and is a predicted model, not a curated record. NCBI's taxonomy places the organism in Eukaryota, Metazoa, Chordata, Aves, Passeriformes, Tyrannidae.
GCCGGACCGCAACCUGCCUAUCUCCCCUGCUUUAUUUACCACGGAGCUCGAGGAGCAGCAGAAGAGGCAGCGUGCGCCCUGUUUGCAGCCCUGAAAGGACACCGAGACACUUGAACGCGGGCGGGGGGAGGGGAUGGUGCCCUGAUGCGCUGAAGGACUGUACCAGCAUCACUGCCACAGAAACCCGCACGCAGGCAGCAGCAGGAGAGAAAGGGAUUUAUCGUAGCAACACUGAACCAAGACUACACUUCAGCCCUUUAUAUGGAACUGCUGACAGAGGAAGCUGCAGAACUGAAAGCAGUCAGCCCUUGACUGCAUGAGACUAUGCCUCUCACAGAAGGCAAAUGAUGUCUUACUUCAAAAACUUUAUGAAAUGCAAACUCAUUGAUUCACUUUUCUUAGAGCUGUUACACUUGAAUAACUGGAGAAGGUUAAGGUUCCUAUUCACUUCAAAUGAAGAUUUAUAGUUUAAUUGGCUCUGAAGACUACAGAGGUCACAUUGAAAAAAAAAAAGGAAAAACCUUUUCUUUUAGCAUACAGGAUAUUUCUUCCUCGUACUACAGGAGUGCCUAUUUAGAUACAUGGUGAACUAAAACUCAACAAGUAUAGAACAAAACAUACAGAACAACAUUUUUUCACAGAAAAAGGCAGCCUCUGAAAAUGUGACGUCAGUAAGAAGGAAUACAACAGCAAAGUACCUAACAGAGCAAUAUUUUUAUAUUAUUGCAAUAGCAGUAAUACUAUCACUAAAUCCGUAGAAAAGUAACUGCUUACAAAUGUAAGUAGUGAUCUAAUAUUAAUUAAUCAAUACUGCUGCAGGCAUUGAGUGUGGGUAACUGUAUUUUCAGCUUUGUAGUGCAGAAGUUCGGGUUGUAAACUUGUGUGCUUUCAUGAUUUAAAUAACAGAUUGGACCUUUUGCUUUAUAUUGUUUGUGCCUAGAUUAAAGAUAAAUGGCUGGUAGUUUG